RNAcentral lists this unclassified non-coding RNA (193 nucleotides) under uncultured fungus. Its description in RNAcentral is "sequence contains ITS1". The record is from RNAcentral. Lineage: Eukaryota; Fungi.
UGAUUGGUUGCCCGUUAGGCUCAGAGAUACGCUAGAAUACAGGGUUUGAGACCUCCGGCCCCCCGUGACAGAGGGCCGAAGCAACGCCGGAGGGGCCCCGGAGGACUCCCCCCCGGAAAGGUAGGUUCACAGUGGUUUUAGGGAGUUUUUUAGGCUCUCAUUAAUGAUCCCUCCGCUGGUUCACCAACGGAGA